Molecule: ribosomal RNA, 200 nt
Filed under: uncultured bacterium
Lineage: Bacteria
Description: partial 16S ribosomal RNA
Rfam family: Bacterial small subunit ribosomal RNA
Source: RNAcentral
GAUGAACGCUAGCGGCAGGCUUAACACAUGCAAGUCGAGGGGCAGCACGAUGUAGCAAUACAUUGGUGGCGACCGGCGCACGGGUGCGUAACACGUAUGGAACCUGCCCUAUACUGGGAGAUAGCCCAGAGAAAUCCGGAUUAAUAUCCCAUAAUAAAUGAGGUGGCAUCACCUUGUUUUGAAAGCUCCGGCGGUAUAGG